GAUGAACGCUGGCGGCGUGCUUAACACAUGCAAGUCGAACGAAGCACUUAAGAUUGAUUCUUCGGAUGAAGUCUUUUGUGACUGAGUGGCGGACGGGUGAGUAACGCGUGGGUAACCUGCCUCAUACAGGGGGAUAACAGUUAGAAAUGACUGCUAAUACCGCAUAAGCGCACAGGGUCGCAUGGCCUGGUGUGAAAAACUCCGGUGGUAUGAGAUGGACCCGCGUCUGAUUAGCUAGUUGGCGAGGUAACGGCCCACCAAGGCGACGAUCAGUAGCCGACCUGAGAGGGUGAUCGGCCACAUUGGGACUGAGAC
This 315-nucleotide ribosomal RNA is filed under the name uncultured bacterium. Its description in RNAcentral is "bacterial SSU rRNA". It matches the Rfam family "Bacterial small subunit ribosomal RNA", at positions 28 to 325 of the family's 1533-position model. The record is from RNAcentral.